CCUACGGGUGGCAGCAGGGGGGGAUAUUGGACAAUGGGGGGAACCCUGAUCCAGCGACGCCGCGUGAGGGAAGAAGUAUUUCGGUAUGUAAAGCUCUGUCAGCAGGGAAGAAAGAAAUGACGGUACCUGACCAAGAAGCCCCGGCUAACGACGUGCCAGCAGCCGCGGGAAUACGUAGGGGGCAAGCGUUAUCCGGAAUUACUGGGGGUAAAGGGAGCGUAGACGGUUAAGUAAGUCUGGAGUGAAAGGCCGGGGCCCAACCCCGGGACUGCUCUGGAAACUAUUCAACUUGAGGGCAGGAGAGGUAAGCGGAAUUCCUAGGGUAGCGGUGAAAUGCGUAGAUAUUAGGAGGAACACCAGUGGCGAAGGCGGCUUACUGGACUGUAACUGACGUUGAGGCUCGAAAGCGUGGGGAGCAAACAGGAUUAGAUACCCUAGUAGUC
RNAcentral lists this ribosomal RNA (443 nucleotides) under uncultured bacterium. RNAcentral's name for it is "partial 16S ribosomal RNA". It matches the Rfam family "Bacterial small subunit ribosomal RNA", at positions 338 to 795 of the family's 1533-position model. The record is from RNAcentral.